Molecule: transfer RNA, 67 nt
Filed under: Myotis davidii
Lineage: Eukaryota; Metazoa; Chordata; Mammalia; Chiroptera; Vespertilionidae
Rfam family: tRNA
About the family: Transfer RNA (tRNA) molecules are approximately 80 nucleotides in length. Their secondary structure includes four short double-helical elements and three loops (D, anti-codon, and T loops).
Source: Rfam by way of RNAcentral
GCAUGGCUCAGUGGUUGAGCAUCGGCCUAUGAAGCAGAAGGUCAAGGUUUGAUUCCCUGUCAGGGCA